CAGGACUCUCCCUUAAGUUGUUCUACUUUUCCUUUUUCUCUUUAUAUUUUUCUUUUUCAUUUUUCUCAAACAAAGGCAGCCGAUCUAGGUGUUUUGCUCUUUGAAUCUCCAACAAUCCAUCAUCACUUUAGAUGCUUGCUUGAUAGGUUGUAGCUUUUGUGGGGGCUGAUCUCCGUUCUGCACACUUGCAGGUAAUUUGGAACUCGUCUGAUAUUCGAGCCAAAGAGGAAUAGAUUGAGGCACCGACAUACUAGCUACAAUUCAUCGACAGGGAAGCUUAUGGCAGCGCACACGCCAUCAGUAUUGCCUAAGGCACGUUGCUUCCAAUUACUACAAGAAAUAUCCAUCUAAGAGUGAACGACGACAAGUGACCAACAUGGGGUAUAAAAUAAAUAAAGAUCGUUUUCAUGAGAUGUUGGCAGUUUUGCGUUCAAUUAACGGCGAAGGCGCGGACUACAUUUGUAACAUACCUUUCGAACAGUGGGCACAAGCAUACGACGGUAGCCUACGAUAUGGUCAUAUGACCUCAAACCUGGCUGAAUGCAUAAAUUCUAUUCUAAAAGGAACGUGCCAUCUACCAAUAACAUCGGUUGUGCGAGAGACAUAUUUUCGUUUGGCGGCGUUAUUUCCAAAGCGAGUAGCAAGUUAUGCAGGCCAGAUAAAGAGAGGCCAUGUAUGGUGCAAUAAGGUAGUGCAAGAAAUUAACAAGGCUAAGGCGCGACCGAACACCAUGCACACAGUGUCACGAUCGAGACAACUUAUGGUUUCGCGUGACAGAGUUUGACAGACCGCACCAAGGUGUUAUUGGCAGGCAAUAUCGUGUACACUUGCGAAAUAGGACUUGCGGUUGUAGGAUGUUUGACGCACUUCGAUAUCCAUGCGCUCAUGUAAUUGCAGCUUUUCAGAAUCUCCAUCUGGAUCCUAUGAAUUAUGUCGACGAAGUGUACAAAUAAGAAAAUAUGUACAACGUUUGGAGACACAUAUUUCCACCGGUCCUAGAUGAACAUAAGUGGCCAUUUGUAUCACUUGCUCCCUUUAAGCUGUUACCGGAUAGAGAAUUGCGUCGCAAACCAAAGGGACGACCUUACUCAACUAGAAUACGUAACAAUAUGGAUAUCCGAGAAACAACCAGUCAACAGAAGUUGUACGAAUGGUGUAGAAACCCAGGCCAUACAAGCCGAUCAUGCCCAAAUCGCAAUAGUUGAACGUUAUUGUAAAAAACUUUGUAUUAUUUAUAUUUUUUUAAAUCAAAAAUUGGUACAA
Long non-coding RNA from Gossypium raimondii (Peruvian cotton), 1263 nucleotides. RefSeq lists it as uncharacterized. The transcript is spliced from 5 exons. The record is from RefSeq and is a predicted model, not a curated record. Lineage: Eukaryota; Viridiplantae; Streptophyta; Magnoliopsida; Malvales; Malvaceae.